Molecule: unclassified non-coding RNA, 159 nt
Organism: Callithrix jacchus (white-tufted-ear marmoset)
Lineage: Eukaryota; Metazoa; Chordata; Mammalia; Primates; Cebidae
Rfam family: Metazoan signal recognition particle RNA
About the family: The signal recognition particle (SRP) is a universally conserved ribonucleoprotein.
Source: Ensembl
UGCUGACCAGGUGUCUGCACUAAGUUCGGCAUCAAUAUGGUGACCACCUGGAAGUGGGUGGGGGCCACCAGGUUGCCUAAGGAAGGGUGAACUGGCCCAGAUCAGAAAGGGAGCGGGUCAGAACUCCACACCGAUUGGUAGUGGGACUGUGCCUGGAAA